AUUCAGCUUUCCUAAAGUUGGCUGAUGUGUUCUGAGUCGGAAACAACUUCCUGAGGCUCUGUGUGCUGAAAGUUACUCAGCAGAGUGAGAAGCACUUAAGAGAAGAUCCUAAAUGUGGAUGAGUUCGUCAAAAGAGUCUUCUCCGUCAUUCACAGCAAUGAUCCAGUUGCUCGGGCCAUUACCCUUCGGAUGUUGGGCAGCAUGGCGUCUGUCAUUCCAGAAAGGAAGAAUGCACAUCACAGUAUUCGUCAAAGUUGGAUUCCCAUGAUAAUGUGGAAGUUGAAGCUGCAAUAUUU
Molecule: long non-coding RNA, 296 nt
Organism: Melopsittacus undulatus (budgerigar)
Lineage: Eukaryota; Metazoa; Chordata; Aves; Psittaciformes; Psittaculidae
Exons: 3
Source: RefSeq, a predicted model, not a curated record